GACGAACGCUGGCGGCGUGCUUAACACAUGCAAGUCGAACGGAAAGGCCCUGCUUUUGUGGGGUGCUCGAGUGGCGAACGGGUGAGUAACACGUGAGUAACCUGCCCUUGACUUUGGGAUAACUUCAGGAAACUGGGGCUAAUACCGGAUAGGAGCUCAUGCUGCAUGGUGGGGGUUGGAAAGUUUCGGCGGUUGGGGAUGGACUCGCGGCUUAUCAGCUUGUUGGUGGGGGAGUGGCUUACCAAGGCUUUGACGGGUAGCCGGCCUGAGAGGGUGACCGGCCACAAUGAUACUGAGAUACGGCCCAGACUCCUACGGGAGGCAGCAGUGGGGAAUAUUGCACAAUGGGCGGAAGCCUGAUGCAGCAGCGCGGCGUGCGGGAUGACGGCCUUCGGGGUGUAAACCGCUGUCGCCUGUGACGAAGCGUGAGUGACGGUAAUGGGUAAAGAAGCACCGGCUAACUACGUG
This 468-nucleotide ribosomal RNA is filed under the name uncultured bacterium. RNAcentral describes it as "partial 16S ribosomal RNA". It matches the Rfam family "Bacterial small subunit ribosomal RNA", at positions 28 to 507 of the family's 1533-position model. The record is from RNAcentral.